ACAACUUUGUGAUACGAAGCAGGAAGUAGAGAAACUGAUGAAGAGAAUCAGAUUCAGCUGAUCAGGACUACAAACCUCCAGGGCAGUGGACCAUGGAGGGUUUUCCUCUACGUCCAGGAGAAACGGCCGCUGGGAUGCACGUGGACGCGACACUACUGUACGUAUGAGAAGAGCAGCAAAGCCUUCACCAUGACCAACUUUGAAACCAAAUCAGCUGGCAAACAGAAUGGUCUGGUGGUGAGUCCCUCUGAGAUGUUCAAGCUGAAGUCCUGUAUCCGAAGGAAGACUGACUCCAUCGACAAGCGUUUCUGCUUCGACAUCGAAGUGGUGGAGAGGCAUGGCAUCGUGACUCUCCAGGCUCUGUCUGAGUCCAACAGAAGGCUGUGGCUGGAGGCUAUGGAUGGCAAGGAGCCG
Non-coding RNA from Salvelinus sp. IW2-2015, 414 nucleotides. The record is from RefSeq and is a predicted model, not a curated record. NCBI's taxonomy places the organism in Eukaryota, Metazoa, Chordata, Actinopteri, Salmoniformes, Salmonidae.